UGGGGAAUAUUGGACAAUGGGCGAAAGCCUGAUCCAGCGACGCCGCGUGGGUGAGGAAGGCCUGCGGGUUGUAAAGCCCUUUCGGUGGGGAAGAAAAGCCUCGAGCGAAUACCUCGGGGUCUUGACGUAACCCAUAGAAGAAGCACCGGCUAACUCUGUGCCAGCAGCCGCGGUAAUACAGAGGGUGCGAGCGUUAAUCGGAAUUACUGGGCGUAAAGCGCGCGUAGGCGGCUUUGCAAGUCGGGUGUGAAAUCCCCAGGCUUAACCUGGGAACUGCAUUCGAGACUGCAUGGCUAGAGUAUGGGAGAGGGAAGUGGAAUUUCCGGUGUAGAGGUGAAAUACGUAGAUAUCGGAAGGAACAUCAGUGGCGAAAGCGACUUCCUGGACCAAUACUGACGCUCAUGUGCGAAAGCGUGGGGAGCAAACA
RNAcentral lists this ribosomal RNA (427 nucleotides) under uncultured bacterium. RNAcentral's name for it is "bacterial SSU rRNA". It matches the Rfam family "Bacterial small subunit ribosomal RNA", at positions 355 to 774 of the family's 1533-position model. The record is from RNAcentral.